GGGGCUGACUGGCUUUGACAGCGUGUAGAGGCGGUAUGUAAGCAUGCAGAGCCAUGACGGAAGGCGCUCUAUAAUCUCCGACGUCGACAAUUUAAAUGGCGAAAAUAACUACGCUCUUGCUGCUUAAUCGAAGUACAGUAGAUUAGCUUAAUCGAUGCAACAGUUGCGUCGACAAGACAUCGCCCGAUUGCCACUCUUUUCCGAGGCUAAUCGAAACGGCGGUGCUCGUAAAUCGGAAAUAGGAGUUUGAAAGCCUCGCGAUAACUCCGAAGCUCUUAGAGGAUAAGGCAUCGGUUGGUAGCAGUUGGCCUGCCGGUGCACCAAAACCAAGUGACUGCUAAGCAUGUAGAAAGCAUAUUGGUUCCACGUUUGGACGAGGGUUCGACCCCCUCCAGCUCCACUU
This 403-nucleotide transfer-messenger RNA is filed under the name Muribaculaceae. RNAcentral's name for it is "Paramuribaculum sp017620715 Standard tmRNA". It matches the Rfam family "transfer-messenger RNA". From Rfam's summary of the family: Bacterial tmRNA, also known as 10Sa RNA or SsrA, is named for its dual tRNA and mRNA-like properties. Lineage: Bacteria; Pseudomonadati; Bacteroidota; Bacteroidia; Bacteroidales. The record is from RNAcentral. RNAcentral also lists the same sequence under 1 other name.